RNAcentral lists this unclassified non-coding RNA (298 nucleotides) under uncultured fungus. Its description in RNAcentral is "partial contains 5.8S ribosomal RNA, internal transcribed spacer 2, and large subunit ribosomal RNA". The stretch from base 1 to 52 matches the Rfam family "5.8S ribosomal RNA", at positions 103 to 154 of the family's 154-position model. Lineage: Eukaryota; Fungi. The record is from RNAcentral. RNAcentral also lists the same sequence under 1 other name.
AACGCACCUUGCGCUCCUUGGUAUUCCGAGGAGCAUGCCUGUUUGAGUGUCAUUAAAUUCUCAACCUCACCAAUUUUGUUAUGAAGUUGUGUGUAGGCUUGGAUGUGGGGGUUGCAGGUCCACUCUCGUGGUCUGCUCCUCUGAAAUGUAUUAGUGGGUUUGGCCCCUAAUCUAUUGGUGUGAUAAUUAUCUACGCCGUGGAUUGGAAGGCUGUUACGACCUGCUUCUAACCGUCCUUCACUGGACAACUCUUGACAUUUUUGACCUCAAAUCAGGUAAGACUACCCGCUGAACUUAA